GAUUAUCCAAUUCCCUCUCACUUUUAUCUUCAGAUUCCUCACUACCAACAUUACAUCUCAAAAAAAAAAAAAACUGCAGAUUAACACUAGAAACACCUCCAACCACCUCCCUUCGUCUCUCAAGCUCUUCAACGGUCGCCAAACACAACCACCUCCCCGUCUUCCUCUAACUUUUUCUACAUCUUCGUCCCCGACCUUCAAUUGGAUUCCGGACUGCUACUCAAACCCCGUCCUAGCGACAAUCGUCGAAGAAGAGCCCGGUUUCUGUUGCCUACAAUAUUUAAUUGCAUAUGGACAUCUUAGAUGACAUGUUGGCUGGUGAAGGAUGUACUGUGCAGGAUUAGUUGGAAUACGGAGAGAGUGAUUACUAUCCACUGCUUUAAAAUGGGCACAGGCUUUAUCUGCAUGACAUAAGAGAAGUAGUUGUACGUGUUGUUGUUCCCAUGGAUGAAGAAGGCAAUACGAUUGUAAGUCCUCAUAACCCCAUAUUGCUUCUCUUAUUAACACGUGUAACUCAGUGUAAGGGCGUACUGGAUUCUUUGUUUUUGGAGAUACAUGUGGCUUUUGUAAGAAAUUUGGUGCAACUUCUAUUAAGUGACACCUGUGAAGAUUUCGAAAAAUUCUAAAUAGUUGGGUCAAUCUUUAAGACUCAGUGCAUGUGCAGU
Rhododendron vialii is the source of this 665-nucleotide long non-coding RNA. RefSeq lists it as uncharacterized. The transcript has 2 exons. Lineage: Eukaryota; Viridiplantae; Streptophyta; Magnoliopsida; Ericales; Ericaceae. The record is from RefSeq and is a predicted model, not a curated record.